RNAcentral lists this transfer RNA (82 nucleotides) under Gelidium galapagense. Its description in RNAcentral is "tRNA-Leu". It matches the Rfam family "tRNA". Rfam says of the family: Transfer RNA (tRNA) molecules are approximately 80 nucleotides in length. Their secondary structure includes four short double-helical elements and three loops (D, anti-codon, and T loops). The record is from RNAcentral. Lineage: Eukaryota; Rhodophyta; Florideophyceae; Gelidiales; Gelidiaceae.
GCUCGCUUGGUGAAAAUAGGUAAACACGAUGGAUUUAAAAUCCGUUCCGGAUAGGUUACUGGUUCAAGUCCAGUAGCGAGUA